AAUCAACGCUGGCGGCGUGCCUCAGACAUGCAAGUCGAGCGCGAAAGAGGGCUUCGGCCCUUGAGUAGAGUGGCGCACGGGUGAGUAACACGUGGGUAAUUUACCUUUGGGUGGGGAAUAACAGUCGGAAACGGCUGCUAAUACCGCAUAAUGCAGCGGCUCCACAUGGAGACAGUUGUUAAAGCGGGGGAGCGAGCAAUCGCCCUCGCGCCUGAAGAGAAGCCCGCGGCAGAUUAGCUAGUUGGUGAGGUAAUGGCUCACCAAGGCUUCGAUCUGUAGCCGGCCUGAGAGGGCGGUCGGCCACACUGACACUGAAUAACGGGUCAGACUCCUACGGGAGGCAGCAGUCGGGAAUUUUGGGCAAUGGGCGCAAGCCUGACCCAGCAACGCCGCGUGAAGGAUGAAAUCUUUCGGGAUGUAAACUUCACAAGAACGGGAAGAAUAAGUGGGGGAC
This 454-nucleotide ribosomal RNA is filed under the name uncultured bacterium. RNAcentral's name for it is "bacterial SSU rRNA". It matches the Rfam family "Bacterial small subunit ribosomal RNA", at positions 32 to 461 of the family's 1533-position model. The record is from RNAcentral.